CCUACUCCUACUACCUACCUGUUUAUAAAAUGUAUUGUUGCACGCCUAAUUUAAUAAUGCAAGGUCAAUAAUUUUUAACAAAAGAAUGCAAUUUAUCGUACAGUUUACUUUUAUAAAGUUACAGUUUUGUGCCAGAAAAUCGACACAUCUAUACUCAGCCAAAAAAGUUGAAUAUUUGACGUGGAAUCUGAUCUUCAAAUUACUCGAGCAUUCAAUUCCAUUUUUCAGCUCGAAGCUUCGACACGAUGAACUUCGAAUUAUUACUAUUUUUCAUCGGAGUUGAGUUAAUUUUGGCUCUUUCUCAAUUGGCUCAGGCGGAAGUGGAUUUUUCAGACGAGAUAUUUCCAACAAAACGCAAUUGUGUGCAAUUUUGUGUUCCUUAUUGCGAGUCGUAUAGACAAAUAUCCCAUCAUCAUUGCUUCCGACAACAAUUCGGUGGAUUUAAAUGUGCUUGUAUGUCGCCGGGGACGUCAAAGAGAAGAGGUAGCUCGACAUUUCAAGCAGUAGAUUAUUAGUAACGAAAUAGGAAUAAGUACCAAAGCAGGAAGAUAAUUUGAUCUGGCUGAUUUUUCUAUUUUUAUACAUUUUUUUAAAUGCCACUGUUUGAAAAUUAAUAAGUUAGGUAUCACUUUAUUAAUUAUCAAUUAAUUAAUUAAGUAAGUAAGUAAGUAAGUACCUACAUUUUUAUACUUUUAAUUUUUAUCCUUCUUUCCCCCCCCCCCAUCAUAAUGAUACCUGGUUUAAGGAACUCUGAGUAUGACAGUAAUAAGUAAACAUUUAAAAUUAAAUGUUCGUUUUAAAAUAA
This is a long non-coding RNA of Planococcus citri (citrus mealybug), 805 nucleotides long. RefSeq lists it as uncharacterized. The record is from RefSeq and is a predicted model, not a curated record. The transcript is spliced from 2 exons. Lineage: Eukaryota; Metazoa; Arthropoda; Insecta; Hemiptera; Pseudococcidae.